RNAcentral lists this ribosomal RNA (465 nucleotides) under uncultured bacterium. RNAcentral describes it as "bacterial SSU rRNA". It matches the Rfam family "Bacterial small subunit ribosomal RNA", at positions 338 to 795 of the family's 1533-position model. The record is from RNAcentral.
CCUACGGGUGGCUGCAGUAGGGAAUCUUCCGCAAUGGACGAAAGUCUGACGGAGCAACGCCUCGUGAGCGAAGAAGGUCUUCGGAUCUUAAAUCUCUUUUGUUAUUUAAUAACAAUUACUGUAUUAAAUUACCUUACCUUUACGGUACCUAACGAGGAAGCCACGGCUAACUACGUGCCAGCAGCCGCGGUAAUACUUAGGUGGCAAGCGUUGUCCGGAAUUAUUGGGCGUAAAUGGCGCGCAGGAGGUCUUUUAAGUCUGAUGUGAAAUCUUGCGGCUACACCGCAAGCGGUCAUUGGAAAAUGGGAGAAUUGAGUGCAGAAGAGGAAAGAGGAAUUAAAAGUGUAGAGGUGAAAUGAGUAGAGAUGUGGAGGAAAACAAGUGGAGAAGGAGAAUUUAUGGUAUGUAACUGAAGCUGAGGAGCGAAAGAGUGGGGAGCAAACAGGAUUAGAUAACAAAGUAGUC